GGAAGGUGUGGCUCAGAGGUAGAGCACGUGCUUAUUUUGCACGAGGUCCUGGGGGUUCAAUCCCCAGCACCUCCA
This 75-nucleotide transfer RNA is filed under the name Vicugna pacos (alpaca). RNAcentral describes it as "tRNA-Asn (ATT) (tRNA-Asn-ATT-27-1)". It matches the Rfam family "tRNA". Rfam says of the family: Transfer RNA (tRNA) molecules are approximately 80 nucleotides in length. Their secondary structure includes four short double-helical elements and three loops (D, anti-codon, and T loops). Further hydrogen bonds mediate the characteristic L-shaped molecular structure. tRNAs have two regions of fundamental functional importance: the anti-codon, which is responsible for specific mRNA codon recognition, and the 3' end, to which the tRNAs corresponding amino acid is attached (by aminoacyl-tRNA synthetases). tRNAs cope with the degeneracy of the genetic code in two manners: having more than one tRNA (with a specific anti-codon) for a particular amino acid; and 'wobble' base-pairing, i.e. permitting non-standard base-pairing at the 3rd anti-codon position. Lineage: Eukaryota; Metazoa; Chordata; Mammalia; Artiodactyla; Camelidae. The record is from RNAcentral.